AACGAACGCUGGCGGCAGGCUUAACACAUGCAAGUCGAACGCCCCGCAAGGGGAUUGGCAGACGGGUGAGUAACGCGUGGGAAUCUAUAGUGCCCUGCGGGAUAGCUCCGGGAAACUGGAAUUAAUACCGCAUACGCUCCACGGGGGAACGAUUUGUCGUGGUAUGAUGAGCCCGCGUUGGAUUAGCUAGUGGGUGGGGUAAAGGUCUACCAAUGCGACGAUCCAUAGCUGGUCUGAGAGGAUGAUCAGCCACAUUGGGACUGAGGCACGGCCCAAACUCCUACGGGAGGCAGCAGUGGGGAAUAUUGGACAAUGGGCGCAAGCCUGAUCCAGCCAUGCCGCGUGAGUGAUGAAGGCCUUAGGGUUGUAAAGCUCUUUCACCGGUGAAGAUAAUGACGGUAGUCGGAGAAGAAGCCCCGGCUAACUUCGCGCCAGCCGCCGCAGUAA
Molecule: ribosomal RNA, 447 nt
Filed under: uncultured bacterium
Lineage: Bacteria
Description: partial 16S ribosomal RNA
Rfam family: Bacterial small subunit ribosomal RNA
Source: RNAcentral